AUACUUACCUGGCAGGGAGAUACCAUGAUCAUGUAGGUGGUUCACCCAGGGCGAGGCUCAGCCAUUGCACUGAGGCUGUCUGACCUCUGCGAAUUCCCCAAAUGUGGGAAUCUCGACUGCAUAAUUUCUGGUAGUGGGGGACUGCGUUCGCGCUCUCCCCCU
This 162-nucleotide small nuclear RNA is filed under the name Betta splendens (Siamese fighting fish). RNAcentral's name for it is "U1 spliceosomal RNA (ENSBSLG00000004642.1)". It matches the Rfam family "U1 spliceosomal RNA". From Rfam's summary of the family: U1 is a small nuclear RNA (snRNA) component of the spliceosome (involved in pre-mRNA splicing). Its 5' end forms complementary base pairs with the 5' splice junction, thus defining the 5' donor site of an intron. There are significant differences in sequence and secondary structure between metazoan and yeast U1 snRNAs, the latter being much longer (568 nucleotides as compared to 164 nucleotides in human). Lineage: Eukaryota; Metazoa; Chordata; Actinopteri; Anabantiformes; Osphronemidae. The record is from Rfam by way of RNAcentral.